Callithrix jacchus (white-tufted-ear marmoset) is the source of this 1446-nucleotide long non-coding RNA. NCBI's taxonomy places the organism in Eukaryota, Metazoa, Chordata, Mammalia, Primates, Cebidae. The record is from Ensembl.
AGGUACUACGAUGCAUCAUUUUGGUUGUGUUUGUUUUGAGACUGGGUCUCACUCUAUCACUCAGGCUAGAGUGCAGUGGCGUGAUCCUGGCUCACUGCAACCUCUGCCUCCUGGGCUCAAGCAAUUCUCCUGCCUUAGCCUCCUACGUACCUGGACUUCAGGUGUGUGCCACCAUGCUUGGCUAUUUUUCGCCAUGUUGCCCAGGCUGGUCCCAAACUUCUGGACUUAAGGAAUACUCCUACCUUGGCCUCCCAAAGUGCUGGGAUACAGAGAAAGAGUCUGACUCUGUGCCUAGGCUGGAGUGCAGUGUCAUGAUUAUAACUCACUGCAACCUCAAAAUCCUGGGCUCGAUGGUCCUCCUGCCUCAACCUCCCAAAGUGCUGGAAUUUACAGGUAUGAGUCACCAUGCCCAGCCACUAACACAUUCUUAUAAGAGUUCUUUGUUGCAUCGUUUGUAAUAUCAAAAAGACCUUUAAAUUAUUUAAAUAGAAAUCAUUAGAAUACACUACAGUAGAUUAUUGUACAACUAUUAAAAGUAAUGUGCUGAUAUGGAAAAUCUCUAUAUUACAUGACAAAAGUGAAGUAUUUUAUACUUUUUAUAUACCAUAGUUUGUAUUAUUAAUUACAAAUCAUCUGUGUAUGUGUGUAUGUGUAUGUAUAUAUGUGUGUGUCAAUUUGCAUAGACACAAGAAAUUUAAAUGAUCUUAGCAGACAUCCAGUGCUUUGUGUGUGCGGCUUGUCUUUUUAUUGUUUGAGUUAUCUUUUGGAUUUUUUUGUUCCAGAAUCAUGUCAUCUGUGAGUAAUGAUAGUUUGGGGUCUUUUCUUUAAGCCUCAUGCCUUUUACUUCUUUCACACUGUUGCUAACAGUGUCUUGUUCCCAGUCUCAAAGGGAAAGCCUUCGGCAUUUGACCUAGAAGACCGGUGCUUUCUGUAGAGUCGUUGUUGAUAUAAAUACCUUUCUCAUAUUAAGGUAUUUUCAUCCUAUGUAUAAACAAUUUUAAAGUUGUUUAAGAUUUUAAAUAAUUAUAAAUGUAAAUUUGUAAAUGUUAUUUUAAAUUUUAAAUUAUGUAAUUUGUUGAUGAGAUUGAUAUUAAAUUUUAUCAAAAUAUUUUUCUGAACCUGUUGAGAUGCUUGUGCAUUUUUUCACCUUUUUACCUGUAAGUGCAGUGAAUUAUAUUGAUUGAUUUUCAUAUGGUAAAUUAACUUUGCAUUCUUGGAAUAAAACUAACUGGUUUGUUCACAGUGAGACACCAUCUCACAUCAAUCAGAAUGGUGAUUAUUAAAAAGACAAGAAACAAUAUAUGCUGAUGAGGUUGUGGGGAAAUAAGAAUGCUUUUACACUGUUAGUGGAAAUGUCAAUUAGUUCAACUAUUGUGGAAGACAGGUUGGUGAUUUCUCAAGGAUGUAGAACCAGAAAUACCAUUUGACCCAGCAAUCCCAUUACUG